GGAGAGAUGGCUGAGUGGUCGAAAGCGGCCGCCUCGAAAGCGGUUAUCCCGGGUAACUGGGAUCGUAGGUUCGAAUCCUACUCUCUCCGCCA
This 92-nucleotide transfer RNA is filed under the name bacterium. RNAcentral describes it as "tRNA-Ser". It matches the Rfam family "tRNA". Rfam says of the family: Transfer RNA (tRNA) molecules are approximately 80 nucleotides in length. Their secondary structure includes four short double-helical elements and three loops (D, anti-codon, and T loops). The record is from RNAcentral.